RNAcentral lists this ribosomal RNA (914 nucleotides) under uncultured archaeon. RNAcentral's name for it is "bacterial SSU rRNA". It matches the Rfam family "Archaeal small subunit ribosomal RNA", at positions 1 to 922 of the family's 1478-position model. The record is from RNAcentral.
UUCCGGUUGAUCCUGCCGGACCUGACUGCUAUCGGAUUGAUACUAAGCCAUGCGAGUCAUUGUAGCAAUACAAGGCAGACGGCUCAGUAACGCGUAGUCAACCUACCCUAUGGACGGGGAUAACCUCGGGAAACUGAGAAUAAUACCAGAUAGAACAUGAUGCCUGGAAUGGUUUAUGUUUCAAAUGAUUUAUUGCCGUAGGAUGGGACUGCGGCCUAUCAGUUUGUUGGUGAGGUAAUGGCCCACCAAGACUAUUACAGGUACGGGCUCUGAGAGGAGUAGCCCGGAGAUGGGUACUGAGACACGGACCCAGGCCCUAUGGGGCGCAGCAGGCGAGAAAACUUUGCAAUGUGCGAAAGCACGACAAGGUUAAUCCGAGUGGUUUCUGCUAAAGGAACCUUUUGUUAGUCAUAGAACCACUAAUGAAUAAGGGGUGGGCAAGUUCUGGUGUCAGCCGCCGCGGUAAAACCAGCACCUCAAGUGGUCAGGAUGAUUAUUGGGCCUAAAGCAUCCGUAGCCGGCUUUGUCAGUUUUCGGUUAAAUCCAUGCGCUCAACGUAUGGGCUGCCGGGAAUACUGCAAGGCUAGGGAGUGGGAGAGGUAGACGGUACUCGGUAGGAAGGGGUAAAAUCCUUUGAUCUAUUGAUGACCACCUGUGGCGAAGGCGGUCUACCAGAACACGUCCGACGGUGAGGGAUGAAAGCUGGGGGAGCAAACCGGAUUAGAUACCCGGGUAGUCCCAGCUGUAAACUAUGCAAACUCGGUGAUGCAUUGGCUUGAUGCCAAUGCAGUGCCGCAGGGAAGCCGUUAAGUUUGCCGCCUGGGAAGUACGUACGCAAGUAUGAAACUUAAAGGAAUUGGCGGGGGAGCACCACAAGGGGUGAAGCCUGCGGUUCAAUUGGAAUCAACGCCGGU